RNAcentral lists this transfer RNA (63 nucleotides) under Sarcophilus harrisii (Tasmanian devil). It matches the Rfam family "tRNA", at positions 5 to 66 of the family's 71-position model. Rfam says of the family: Transfer RNA (tRNA) molecules are approximately 80 nucleotides in length. The record is from Rfam by way of RNAcentral. Lineage: Eukaryota; Metazoa; Chordata; Mammalia; Dasyuromorphia; Dasyuridae.
AGGUUGCACAAUGGUUAGAGCACCAGUUUUGAAAUCUGGAGGACCCAAGUUCAAAUCUGGCCU